Long non-coding RNA from Tigriopus californicus, 406 nucleotides. RefSeq lists it as uncharacterized. Lineage: Eukaryota; Metazoa; Arthropoda; Copepoda; Harpacticoida; Harpacticidae. The transcript has 2 exons. The record is from RefSeq and is a predicted model, not a curated record.
AGUUGCCUUUCGAGUUGCAUUGAUUGAACAUCUUUUUGUGAAUGUCAAAGUUUAACCAUCAUACGUUCAAUAAUCACAAAGUUGAAUCAAUUGUCUAAUAUAAUCCUGCUUUGAGGUUUUUGUUUCCUUAAUGGCCAAGGAACGAGUAAUUUACGAGUGGUUGCCAUUGUUUUGGCACCAAACAGAUGAGCCUUUCAAGGAAGAUAUCUAUCCGCUUUUGGGGUGAGGAGGAGGAAGAACAACAACAACAGGAGAAGGAAGAAUCACAGAAAUCAUGGAUUGCUCCACAACUACAAAUUCCAGACCCAAACUGAAACGAAAGGUCAUUCUUUUCAGUUUAUUUAUGUACUAUACUCCAUCUAUUUUUUCUAUCUGUCUCGGAUCAAAUAAAAAAAUUGGCAGACGC